Molecule: ribosomal RNA, 372 nt
Filed under: uncultured organism
Description: bacterial SSU rRNA
Rfam family: Bacterial small subunit ribosomal RNA
Source: RNAcentral
CGAGGGGUGCAAGCGUUGCUCGGAAUUAUUGGGCGUAAAGGGUUGGUAGGUGGUCUUGUUUGUCUAAGGUGAAAUCCCAUGGCUUAACUGUGGAAGUGCCUUAGAAACGGCAAGACUAGAGUCCUAGAGGGGUUUGUGGAAUUCCCGGUGUAGCGGUGAAAUGCGUAGAGAUCGGGAGGAACACCAGCGGCGAAGGCGGCAAACUGGAUAGGAACUGACACUCAACAACGAAAGCGUGGGGAGCAAACAGGAUUAGAUACCCUGGUAGUCCACGCUGUAAACGAUGGGUACUAGGCUUUGUGGGAAUAGACCCCUGCAGAGCCGGAGCUAACGCAAUAAGUACCCCGCCUGGGAAGUACGGUCGCAAGACUA